RNAcentral lists this unclassified non-coding RNA (338 nucleotides) under soil metagenome. Its description in RNAcentral is "partial contains 5.8S ribosomal RNA, internal transcribed spacer 2, and large subunit ribosomal RNA". The stretch from base 1 to 120 matches the Rfam family "5.8S ribosomal RNA", at positions 35 to 154 of the family's 154-position model. The record is from RNAcentral.
GAUGAAGAACGUAGCGAAAUGCGAUAAGUAGUGUGAAUUGCAGAAUUCAGUGAAUCAUCGAAUCUUUGAACGCACAUUGCGCUCCUUGGUAUUCCGAGGAGCAUGCCUGUUCGAGCGUCAUUUGUACCCUCAAGCUUUGCUUGGUGUUGGGCGCUUGUCCCCUAUUUAUUUGGGGGACUCGCCUUAAAAUUAUUGGCAGUCAGUGUUUUUGGCAAAGGAGCGCAGCACAAGUCGCGCUUCUAGCCCAGCUCACUUGCGUCCAUAAGCCUAUUUCUCACUUUUGACCUCGGAUCAGGUAGGGAUACCCGCUGAACUUAAGCAUAUCAAUAAGCGGAGGA